RNAcentral lists this ribosomal RNA (1521 nucleotides) under bacterium. Its description in RNAcentral is "bacterial LSU rRNA". It matches the Rfam family "Bacterial large subunit ribosomal RNA", at positions 10 to 1358 of the family's 2925-position model. The record is from RNAcentral.
AAUAAGGGUAUGUGGUGGAUGCCUUGGCAACAGACGACGAUGAAGGACGUGGCCGGCUGCGAAAAGCUACGGGGAGGUGCUGAGCAACCAGUGAUCCGUAGAUGUCCGAAUGGGGAAACCCCGCUAUCUUCAUCGAUAGUGACUUGGCGUACUUUUGUACGUCGAGGGUUAUACCUGGCGAAUUGAAACAUCUUAGUAGCCAGAGGAAAAGAAAAUAACGAUCAUCUUUUUACCGUUUAGCUGAUAGCUGAUGGGGGCUUUUAGUUUUCUAAUAGCUUUUAUUGGCUAGAAGCUAACGUAAAGAAGAUGUUCAUAUUCCCUGAGUAGUGGCGAGCGAAAAGGGAACAGUCCAAACCAGACCUUCGGGUCUGGGGUUGUAGGGUACAAACGAUGGUUAAAACCGAACAAGCACUGUGCUGUGUAGUGGAAGACGGCUGGAAUGCCUGACCAUAGAGCGUAAGAGUCGCGUACACGAAACAUUCGUGCAUCUUGUUUGUUUGUAUACCUGAGUAGGGCGGGGCACGUGGAAUCCUGUCUGAACCUGGGAGACCUACUAAAGUCAGCUUGCUGACACUCCCAAGACUAAAUACGCCUGUUGACCGAUAGUGAACUAGUACCGUGAGGGAAAGGUGAAAAGUACCCCGGUGAGGGGAAUGAAAUAGACCUGAAACCACAUACCUACAUAGAGUCAGAGCCCUUCGGGGUGAUGGCGUGCUUUUUGCAGAACGAACCACCGAGUUCGCUGUAUGUCAUUGAGCUUAAGGGCAAUUCUGUCCGGAGGCGGAGCGAAAGCAAGUGUUAAUAGCGCGAUAUUCAAUGAUUAUUGUGUGGGCGCAAGCCUACACAAUAUUCAUUGACAGUGGCAUGCACGAGACCCGAAACCAGGUGAUCUAUCCAUGAGCAGGGUGAAGCGACUGUAACAGGUCGUGGAGGCCCGAACCGUUGAGCUGUGCAAUACUCUCGGAUGACUUGUGGAUAGCGGAGAAAUUCCAAUCGAACCUGGCAAUAGCUGGUUCUCGUCGAAAUAGCUUUAGGGCUAGCCUUGUGACGAAGACAUGAGUGGUAGAGCACUGCAAGGGAUCUUGGGGGCUUGCCUCCGGACCCUAGCAAACUCCGAAUGCUUAUGUUCAAUUCACAGGAGUCAGAACGUGGGGGCUAAGCUCCACGCUCAAAAGGGAAACAGCCCAGACCGUCGUUUAAGGUCCCAAAAUCUUAUCUAAGUGGGAAAGGCGGUGGGAUUGCGUAGACAGCCAGGCAGUUGGCUUAGAAGCAGCCACCUGUUAAAGAAAGCGUAACAGCUCACUGGUCAAGCGAUCCUGCGCCGAAGAUUCAACGGGGCUCAAGAUAAGUACCGAAGACACGGAGUGUCAUCUUUUUGAUGACAUUGGUAGACGAGCAUUUCGUACAGCGUUGAAGGUAGACCGUGAGGUUUCUACUGGAGCGUACGGAAGAGAGAAUGGUGGUAUGAGUAACAGAACACGGAGUGAGAACCUCCGUCACCGAAAACCCGAGGUUUCCUGG